Molecule: long non-coding RNA, 201 nt
Filed under: Homo sapiens (human)
Lineage: Eukaryota; Metazoa; Chordata; Mammalia; Primates; Hominidae
Description: non-protein coding lnc-CDKL4-4:1
Source: RNAcentral
UCAUAUACUACUAUUGUGCUAAAUAUUUUAUUUUGUACUAUUAGGAUCUGCAACUGGAAUAUGGACAAGGACACCAAGGUGGUUACUUUUUAGGUGCAAACAAGAGUCUUCUCAAGUCUGUUGAAGAAGAAUUGCAUCAGCGAGGACACGUCGCACAUUUAGAAGAUGAUGAAGGAGAUGAUGAUGAAUCUAAACACUCAA